Molecule: ribosomal RNA, 904 nt
Filed under: Xylaria sicula f. major
Lineage: Eukaryota; Fungi; Ascomycota; Sordariomycetes; Xylariales; Xylariaceae
Description: LSU rRNA
Rfam family: Eukaryotic large subunit ribosomal RNA
Source: RNAcentral
GCAUAUCAAUAAGCGGAGGAAAAGAAACCAACAGGGAUUGCCCUAGUAACGGCGAGUGAAGCGGCAACAGCUCAAAUUUGAAAUCUGGCCCUCGGGUCCGAGUUGUAAUUUGUAGAGGAUGUUUUUGGCGCGGUGCCUUCCGAGUUCCCUGGAACGGGACGCCUUAGAGGGUGAGAGCCCCGUACGGUUGGACACCAAGCCUCUGUAUAACUCCUUCGACGAGUCGAGUAGUUUGGGAAUGCUGCUCUAAAUGGGAGGUAAAUUUCUUCUAAAGCUAAAUAUUGGCCAGAGACCGAUAGCGCACAAGUAGAGUGAUCGAAAGAUGAAAAGCACUUUGAAAAGAGGGUUAAAUAGCACGUGAAAUUGUUGAAAGGGAAGCGUUUGCGACCAGACCUUUUCCUGGCGGAUCAUCCGGUGUUCUCACCGGUGCACUUCGCCAGGUUUAGGCCAGCAUCGGUUUCUGCAGGGGGAUAAAAGCUUGGGGAACGUAGCUCCCUCGGGAGUGUUAUAGCCCCUCGCAUAAUACCCUUGCGGGGACCGAGGACCGCGCUUUUUGCAAGGAUGCUGGCGUAAUGGUCGUCAACGACCCGUCUUGAAACACGGACCAAGGAGUCGAACAUUUGUGCAAGUGUUUGGGUGUCAAACCCUCACGCGUAAUGAAAGUGAACGGAGGUGAGAGCCCUUACGGGUGCAUCAUCGACCGAUCCUGAUGUCUUCGGAUGGAUUUGAGUAAGAGCAUAACUGUUCGGACCCGAAAGAUGGUGAACUAUGCGUGGAUAGGGUGAAGCCAGAGGAAACUCUGGUGGAGGCUCGCAGCGGUUCUGACGUGUAAAUCCGAUCGUCAAAUCUGCGCAUGGGGGCGAAAGACUUAUCGAACCAUCUAGUAGCUGGUUAUCGCCGAAGU